This 497-nucleotide ribosomal RNA is filed under the name uncultured bacterium. Its description in RNAcentral is "partial 16S ribosomal RNA". It matches the Rfam family "Bacterial small subunit ribosomal RNA", at positions 28 to 507 of the family's 1533-position model. The record is from RNAcentral.
GAUGAACGCUGGCGGCGUGCCUAAUACAUGCAAGUCGAGCGAACAGACGAGGAGCUUGCUCCUCUGACGUUAGCGGCGGACGGGUGAGUAACACGUGGAUAACCUACCUAUAAGACUGGGAUAACUUCGGGAAACCGGAGCUAAUACCGGAUAAUAUAUUGAACCGCAUGGUUCAAUAGUGAAAGACGGUUUUGCUGUCACUUAUAGAUGGAUCCGCGCCGCAUUAGCUAGUUGGUAAGGUAACGGCUUACCAAGGCAACGAUGCGUAGCCGACCUGAGAGGGUGAUCGGCCACACUGGAACUGAGACACGGUCCAGACUCCUACGGGAGGCAGCAGUAGGGAAUCUUACGCAAUGGGCGAAAGCCUGACGGAGCAACGCCGCGUGAGUGAUGAAGGUCUUCGGAUCGUAAAACUCUGUUAUUAGGGAAGAAAAAAUGUGUAAGUAACUAUGCACGUCUUGACGGUACCUAAUCAGAAAGCCACGGCUAACUACGUG